GCGCAGCAGGCGAGAAAACUUCACAAUGUGCGAAAGCACGAUGAGGGAAUCCCAAGUGCUUGCACGUAAGUGUAAGCUGUUUCUCUGUCUAAAACGCAGAGGGAGUAAGGGCUGGGUAAGACGGGUGCCAGCCGCCGCGGUAAUACCUGCAGCUCGAGUGGUGACCGUUAUUAUUGGGCCUAAAACGUCCGUAGCCGGUUUAAUAAAUGCCUGGGUAAAUCGGACCGCUUAACGGUUCGAAUUCCGGGUAGACUGUUAAACUUGAGACCGGGAGAAGUUAGAGGUACUCCUGGGGUAGAGGUGAAAUUCUGUAAUCCUAGGGGGACCACCAGUGGCGAAGGCGUCUAACUAGAACGGGUCUGACGGUGAGGGACGAAGCCCUGGGGCGCAAACGGGGAUUAGAUACCCGUGUAGU
Molecule: ribosomal RNA, 415 nt
Filed under: uncultured microorganism
Description: bacterial SSU rRNA
Rfam family: Archaeal small subunit ribosomal RNA
Source: RNAcentral